GUGAGGAAUAUUGCGCAAUGGAGGCAACUCUGACGCAGCCAUGCCGCGUGCAGGAAGAAGGCGCUACGCGUUGUAAACUGCUUUUAACCGGGAAGAAACCCCAGGACGUGUCCUGGGUUGACGGUACCGGAGGAAUAAGCACCGGCUAACUUCGUGCCAGCAGCCGCGGUAAAACGAAUGGUGCAAGCGUUAUCCGGAUUCAUUGGGUUUCAAGGGUGCGUAGGCGGAGCGUUAAGUCAGUGGUGAAAUCCUGCAGCUUAACUGUAGACUUGCCAUUGAUACUGGCGCUCUUGAGUGCGCUUGAAGUGGGCGGAAUGUGCCGUGUAGCGGUGAAAUGCUUAGAUAUGGCACAGAACACCAAUUGCGAAGGCAGCUCACUAAGGCGAUACUGACGCUGAGGCACGAAAGCGUGGGGAUCGAACAGGAUUAGAUACCCUAGUAGUCC
This 445-nucleotide ribosomal RNA is filed under the name uncultured bacterium. RNAcentral's name for it is "partial 16S ribosomal RNA". It matches the Rfam family "Bacterial small subunit ribosomal RNA", at positions 354 to 796 of the family's 1533-position model. The record is from RNAcentral.